Molecule: long non-coding RNA, 1979 nt
Filed under: Panax ginseng (ginseng)
Lineage: Eukaryota; Viridiplantae; Streptophyta; Magnoliopsida; Apiales; Araliaceae
Description: long non-coding RNA (PGIN_LNC013739)
Source: RNAcentral
AAGAAAAAAAACUAAAUUUUGUCGUGAAUAGUAAUCCGGCAUGAAUAGUACCUCGGAUGAAUAGUACUCUAGUAUGAAUAGUACCUCGGAUGAAUAGUACUCCAGUAUGAAUAGUACUCCGGAUGAUUAGUACCUCAAAAUGAAAAGAUUAAAAUUUAAUAAGAAAGUUCAGACCAAUAUUUCAGUGAAAUGAUAUUAGAUGAAGCGCAAACCUCAGGAAAUUUCUAAUCAUUUCAGGAAUUAUAGAAGCAAUAAUUACCAUAGUAAGUGUAAAUUUAGGAAUAUGAAAUGAAAUAAUAUCACUUACAUAAUAUGAAGUAUGAAAGAAAAUGAUAUCCCUUACGAGUAUUGAAAGAAAAUAACAUCAUUUACCUUAGUAGAAAACUAGAUUUGACUGGUAUAACGGAUAUUAUCCUGAGAAAAUCUUGCACUAUAAGCUACCCUCAAAGUAUUCUUAUAUUCAAAAGAAAUACUCACAAUAUUGAAGUAGGAACACUUAUAUUUUUGGUGUUUUAGGAUGAAGGGUUACCUCUCCUUUUAUAGUGUAACCUCGAAGGAAAAAUCAAAUGAACUUGCCUAACUUUGUGACACCCCCAAAAUAGGUAUACAUAACCCAUCUUGGAUCGCCAGAAAAUACACUACUGACAACUCCAUUUAUACAACUGUUGAACUGUCGUGCAGAGUACGAAAACACAUAAGCUGUGAGUUUUAAUACAAAUAUAUGUAACUCUUAUGGUGCCUCGACCAUAACACCUUACAAUGGUACUUCACAUAAAAGUACAGUCAAUAACUGUUUUAGAAAUUAAAAUCUUUGGAAAAUACUCAAGGAAACCUUCGUACAUCGAAGGCCAUGCAUCUAAGUUAUGAUAGAUAUCAUAUGACUCGAGAAUUAUCCUUGGUUGACCCAAUAGACCCCAAAGAAAAAUGAGAAGAUUACUAUCAUGUUCUUUCCGAUGGUGAGUCUUCUCUUGACAUAUAAUUAUCUCCAUUGUCUCCAAUUGAGAAUUAUACUUCAACCAAACUCUAAGAUUAUAUAGGUAGUGCUCAUAGAUAUAAUCAGCAAGUGCAUGUGCACAACCUUGUCUUAUGAUAACACAAAGUCAUCUGUCAUUAGACAUCUUGUAUGAUAGUGGCAAAAAUGCCCUUCCAAAGUUGGGUUCACCUCACCCUAUUCGGUUCACCAAAAUUAAUGGUUAAAAUGACGUAUAAAAUACGACACACUUAUUUAUAAUUCUUAAUAAAAUUAUUUCCAUACUGUUUUAAGGGAAACCUCAACAUCUAUAGACCAUCGUUCUAUUCCCUUAUUACCCCGCUCGACCCAGCUACACUUUUAUUACCUGAAAGGAAUUGUGAAGCAAAAGGGUGAGCACAACUAGCCCAUUAAAGAAUAUUAUGACUAAAGAUAAUUAACUUAUCAAUAGCCUUCGUCAGUGAUAAAUCAGAGAUUUAGAACAUAUGGUAGAUGAUAAAACUUUUUAACCAUAGUUGCAGCAGAACGAGCAAUCCAUUAGAAGAGUCAAAUAGACCAUAAAGUUUAUUAUCUUCUCCAUGUUAAAAGUCCACCAACAAUGUUUUAUCCAUGUAACAUCAAUCAACAGUUCAUGUCCAAAAUUAUGUGAAUAACUCAUAAUCAUAAUUGUGGUUCUAAAUUCCUCUUCGCACCCAGGACGAAGAUAAUUUUCAUCACGUGUCUUUACCUGAAACAUCAAAGAUCAUGGUUAUAUGUAGCGCCCCCAAAUCUGGGUCCUAAAUCACCACGAAUCUGGUACACUAGUUCUAACUAUUGCGGAAGAUAUAAACAUAAAUUAUUUAUAAAUUAAACAUUAUACACUGUGGCGACCCCAAAUCCAGGUACUUGAAACCCGAACUCGGUUCUCCACGAUACCAUUUCUUUAAGCUGAAUAAUACUAAAUAAUAACACAUUCGAACUUAAUUUACAUACAUCAAAGUUUACUUCCCCAGGUACGUGACCUUCAAAU